This 432-nucleotide ribosomal RNA is filed under the name uncultured bacterium. Its description in RNAcentral is "partial 16S ribosomal RNA". It matches the Rfam family "Bacterial small subunit ribosomal RNA", at positions 338 to 795 of the family's 1533-position model. The record is from RNAcentral.
CCUACGGGUGGCAGCAGUAGGGAAUCUUGCGCAAUGGGCGAAAGCCUGACGCAGCAACGCCGCGUGGGGGAUGAAGGCCUUCGGGUUGUAAACUCCUUUCAGUGGGAACGCGGUACCCACAGAAGAAGCCCCGGCCAACUACGUGCCAGCAGCCGCGGUGAUACGUAGGGGGCGAGCGUUGUCCGGAUUUAUUGGGCGUAAAGAGCUCGUAGGCGGUUUGGCAAGUCGGGUGUGAAACCUCCAGGCUUAACCUGGAGACGCCACUUGAAACUGCCAGGCUAGAGUCCGGUAGGGGAUCACGGAAUUCCUGGUGUAGCGGUGAAAUGCGCAGAUAUCAGGAGGAACACCAGUGGCGAAGGCGGUGAUCUGGGCCGGACUGACGCUGAGGAGCGAAAGCGUGGGGAGCGAACAGGAUUAGAUACCCUUGUAGUC